CGGAGGGGUUAGCGUUGUUCGGAAUGACUGGGCGGUAAAGACGCGCGUAGGCGGAUCGCAAAGUUGGGGGUGAAAGCCCAGGGCUCAACCCUCGGAAUUGCCUUCAAGACUCGCGGUCUGGAGUUCGAGAGAGGUGGGUGGAAUUCCGAGUGUAGAGGUGAAAUUCGUAGAUAUUCGGAGGAACACCAGUGGCGAAAGGCGGCCCACUGGCUCGACACUGACGCUGAGGCGCGAAAAGCGCGGGGAGCAAACAGGAUU
RNAcentral lists this ribosomal RNA (258 nucleotides) under uncultured bacterium. RNAcentral's name for it is "partial 16S ribosomal RNA". It matches the Rfam family "Bacterial small subunit ribosomal RNA", at positions 526 to 779 of the family's 1533-position model. The record is from RNAcentral.